Long non-coding RNA from Rhipicephalus microplus (southern cattle tick), 291 nucleotides. The record is from RefSeq and is a predicted model, not a curated record. NCBI's taxonomy places the organism in Eukaryota, Metazoa, Arthropoda, Arachnida, Ixodida, Ixodidae.
GUGAACUUGGCACCUGCAAAACUUCCACGGUGUAAUGCAGCUAGUAAGAAUGCCGUUUCUGUGUUUUUCACGGCCAAAACAGAUGAGCAAGAUGUUCCUCUGACGAUGACUGCGUGAAAAAGCUAAGUGGAUUCAGGACUAUCAGUUACUUGCACUGGGACCUACACAUCAAAGAGGAUGCAAACAUUUCCCAGCACCAAAGAACUAUAUGAGUGGACAGCGUACCCGCGCUCCGCCGUAUCGUCCACCACCUCGCUAUCCUCCAAGACGAAUCAGCACGGUGUGUGCCCG